Molecule: ribosomal RNA, 253 nt
Filed under: uncultured bacterium
Lineage: Bacteria
Description: partial 16S ribosomal RNA
Rfam family: Bacterial small subunit ribosomal RNA
Source: RNAcentral
GACGUAGGGCGCGAGCGUUGUCCGGAAUCAUUGGGCGUAAAGAGCGUGUAGGCGGUUCGGUAAGUCGGCUGUGAAAGUCCAGGGCUCAACCCUGGGAUGCCGGUCGAUACUGCCGGACUAGAGUUCGGAAGAGGCGAGUGGAAUUCCCGGUGUAGCGGUGAAAUGCGCAGAUAUCGGGAGGAACACCUAUGGCGAAGGCAGCUCGCUGGGACGUUACUGACGCUGAGACGCGAAAGCGUGGGGAGCAAACGGG